AACGAACGCUGGCGGCAUGCCUAACACAUGCAAGUCGAACGAGACCUUCGGGUCUAGUGGCGCACGGGUGCGUAACGCGUGGGAACCUGCCCUUAGGUUCGGAAUAACUCCCCGAAAGGGGUGCUAAUACCGGAUAAUGUCUUCGGACCAAAGAUUUAUCGCCUUUGGAUGGGCCCGCGUUGGAUUAGCUAGUUGGUAGGGUAAAAGCCUACCAAGGCGACGAUCCAUAGCUGGUCUGAGAGGAUGAUCAGCCACACUGGGACUGAGACACGGCCCAGACUCCUACGGGAGGCAGCAGUGGGGAAUAUUGGACAAUGGACGAAAGCGUAAUCCAGCAAUGCCGCGUGAGUGAUGAAGGCCUUAGGGUUGUAAAGCUCUUUUACCCGGGAUGAUAAUGACAGUACCGGGAGAAUAAGCGCCGGCUAACUCCGUG
This 433-nucleotide ribosomal RNA is filed under the name uncultured bacterium. RNAcentral's name for it is "partial 16S ribosomal RNA". It matches the Rfam family "Bacterial small subunit ribosomal RNA", at positions 29 to 507 of the family's 1533-position model. The record is from RNAcentral.